Molecule: ribosomal RNA, 225 nt
Filed under: Triticum aestivum (bread wheat)
Lineage: Eukaryota; Viridiplantae; Streptophyta; Magnoliopsida; Poales; Poaceae
Description: partial small subunit ribosomal RNA
Source: RNAcentral
AUGCAGAGGCCGGUGAGCUCCCCGUCGCUGCCCGCUUUCGAGGACGAGGGGGAGGACCUGGAGGCCAAGCCGGAGAAGGCGCCCGCCGUCCGGUCCGUCCACCUCGUGCCGCUCAUCGUCCUGCUCUGCUUCGUCGUCCUCUUCAUCUGCUCCCACGUCCCCUCCCCCUCUGAUAUGUCGAGCUUCGGAGGGAAGGCCGGGGGACGGAAGCCCAAGCUGCUCUGA